CUGGCGAGGGCGGGAUUUCCGGCGCAGCGGACGCUGGUUUAAAGACCGCCGGACCAAAAUAGAGCGGCCCCGCUGUCUUGAGUUUUGGAGGCGACGAUGUCCGAGCCAAGGGCGCCGAGGUUCAGUGACGCGGCGCUGAAGGUGUUGGUGGAGCAGGUGAGGGCCCACAAAGAGGUUCUCUUCCCCUCGGAUGGGAGGAAAAUGCCUCGGCAGACGCUGCGCCAGGCCUGGAGGGAAGUGGCACUCUAUGUCAACCUCAAGAGUGUUACUCCCAGGACCUGGCUGCAGUGCCGCAAGAAGUUCAACGAUCUGACCCGCACUGCCAGGGACAAGUUGGCACACAAACCAAGGAAUCCGGCUUGCAGUGGGGAACGACCAGCCUCCAUUCAAGCCACCACUCAGAUGGAGCAGGAAGCUCUGGACAUCGUUGAGAUUUACAGCAGGAGGAGCAUUGAGAAUGGCGAGGCAGGAGGCCAAGUACCACAGGGUGUCUGGCAAAUUUCCCUCAUCUGCUGUGUUCUUAAGCAUCACCCAGGCAAUGUGAUCACCCUGAAAUUCAAAAAAAAAGAACAGAAAAUGCUGGAAACAUUCAGAUAGCUGUAUGUGGAGGGAGAUAGGGUGAACGUCUGAGGAUAGUCUUCUUUCAUUGUAACUGGAAGAAUUCUGAUGUAAUUCCCAUGCUCAUCUGUAGUGAUUAGUUUAAAACCACUUAGAGAUCGAGUACAGGGGUUGACACCGAUGCAUUUCCAAAAUAAUGAAUUUUCAAAUCGGGGAAAAAGUACAUUCGAUCCUUUAUUGCGAAACCAGUAAAAACAAACAACCUUACCGCAAUUUAAAAGAUGUAACGAAAUUUAAACUCGCCAUAGAGUGAAAUUACAAAAUUAGCAGUACUAAGUGGUCCAGCGGUCUAAUAACAGCGUAAUAGCGACCUAGCAGUCAACAAAAAUAAAUCACUCCCAGCUCACUCCGGCUCUCAACCUUCAACUAGACUAAGCUGAACUGAAGACAAAGCAUAGGUAUGUUUCUGUACUCAUUUACUUCUGCCACGCCCAGCCCAUGUGACAAAUUACCCAUAAUACAUGUGCAACACAAACUACAAUGUAGACUCCAUUAGACAGAAAAUGGAUUCAUGGCUCCUACACCUUUACCUCUUUUUCAAAAAAAUAUUCCUGUUGGUUUUUUUAUCGAGGUUAACAUUUAUUGCUGAAGUAUAGUUGACGUUGAGCCAACAGGUUUACAAGUAGAUGAUGGUAUAGCAUGAAUGUGAGGAAGGACAAGCCAGUGAUUGGGUACAAAUGCAGACACAGCAAAGAGUUAAAUUGUACCACAGAGGCAAAAUUCAAAAGGGUGAAGAAUGCCUAACUGAAAGUGUUGUAUUUAAAUGCAUGUAGCAUUUGGAAUAAGGUGGAUGAACUCAUGGUACAAUUAGAGAUUGGUUAGUAUAACACUGUGGGCAUCACUGAGUCGUGGAUGAAAGAAAGAUGUAGUUGGGAGCUUAACAUCAAAGGAUAUACUUUGUAUCAAAAGGACAGGAGAGCAUAGGUGGUGAUGUGGUUCUGUUCGUAAGAGAUGGAAUUAGAUCUUUAGAAAGAGGAGACAGGGUCAGAGAAUGUUGAAUCUUUGUGGGUGGAGUUAAGAAACUGCAGGGUGAAAAAACCAUUAUGAAAAUCAUAGAUAGGCCUCCAAAUAAUAGCUAAGAUAUGUCAAAGAACUGGAAUAGGCUGUUCUAGGCAGGGCAUGCUCCAGUUUCUAGGUGUCUUUUUUUUCGCAUUAUUCAUGAGAUAAACUAGUGUUCCCUAGUCCAUCAAUCACAUUAUAACCUGUUAUUAUUAUAGGAGAUGUACCUGUAAUUACAUUUUUCUGUUUUCUCAAUAUUGGCACAAUAUCACCAAAAAUGUAUUCAUAAGUGUUAGAUUUUGGUUUUGGACUAAUACAUUUUAGUUGUACGAGAGGAGAUUCAGUUGUAGAAAUUUCAGUUCAGUUGUAGAAAUUUCUGACAAGGCUUGAUGGAUUGCAUGUGGGUAAGGGUGGUAUUUGUCCUAAUUGAGUGGGGGUGGGUCUCGACUGGGAAGGUAGGGGUUGCUGUCCCCAAGCUACCCAGGACUGAGAUGAAGAGAAAUUUCUUCACUCAGGAUGGUGAACCUAUGGAACUUUAGAAAGACAGUUGGACAGGUACACGUAUAGGAAGGAUUUAGAUCAGGGGCCCCAAUCUUUUUUAUGCCAAGGACCCCUACCAUUAACUGAGGGAUCAUCUACCAUUUAGAGAGAUAUGAGCCAAACACAGUCAAAUAAAUUGGAAUUGGUUUAUUAUUGUCACAUGUUGCGAUACAGUGAAAAGCUUUUCUUGCAUUCUGUUCAUGCAGAUCAGAUCAUUACAUAAUGCAUUAAGGUAGAACAAGUUAAAACAAUGAAAAUGCAAAUAAAGUGUAACAGCUGUAGAGAAAAUGUGCAGGGAAGGGAGCUGCAAACAAAAUGAGGGAGAUUCUGAGCUGGAGACUAUCUUGCUGUAUAAGGGAGCAUCUUAAUAGUCAUAUAACAGUGGACUAGAAGCUGUUCUUGAGCCUGAUAUCUUCUGCCCAAUGGGAGAGGAUAAAAGAGGGAGUAUCUGGGGUGCGUGGGAUAUUUGAUUGUGCUGGAUGCUUUGCAGAGGCAGCAAGAUGGAAAGGCAGAGUCCAAAGAGCUGGGGGUCCCAACCUGAGGUCCUUGCUUAAUGGUAUUGGUCUGUGGCAUUAAAAAUGUUGGGAACCCCCGCCACAGAGGGAAGGCUGGUUUCUGCAGUGUGUUCAUAACUCUCUAUAGUUUAAAACAAGGCUAGCUUAGUUCUGCAUCUUGGUCAGCAGGGAUCGGUGAGGUUUUAGGGCCUGCUGUUUUGUUUUCUAUUACAGUCGGCCCUCCUUAUCCGCGGGGGAUUGAUUCCAGGACCCCCCCGCAGAUACCAAAAAACAUGGAUGUUCAAGUCCCUUAUUUAACCUGGCUCAGUGCAGUGGACUUUAGGACUUGGCAGAGCUCCGGACCUUAUUUAACCUGUCUCAGUGCAAUGAAGAGAAGUCUGUACAUGCUCAAACAAUGAGUGCUGGAGAGAGAACUUCUGUUUUUUCUUUCAAUCCCGAUUCGCGGUAACCUAUGCACAUCCUCCUGUAUACUUUAAAUCAUCUCUAGAUUACUUAUAAUAUCUAAUACAAUGUUAAUGCUAUGUAAAUUGUUAUACUGUACUCUUUAGGGAAUAAUGACAAGAAAAAAAGUAUGCACAUGCUUUAGCAACAAGUGCUGGAGAGAGAACUUACGGGUUUUUAGGUUGAAUCUGCGCAUGCGGAGCCUGUGGAUAAGGAGAGUUGACUGUACUCUUUGUGCAGAUCGAUAGCUUAAUUUGCCACAGUAAAUUGCCACUGAUAGUUGCUGAGUGGUAGAAAUGGGUGGGGGAUUUAAUGAGAAUGUGGGAGAAUAGAGGAAAUAAAUAUGGGAGGAGAAAAAGAUAUAUAUUUGGAAUAAGAGUGAAUGAUUUGUGUGUACUUGGUGGCUUGUUUCUAUGGUGUAUUUCUCUGAGUGCUCGACAACUGCUAUGCCUCCUGGACUCCUACAGCUGCAAGAGUCAAUGUGUAACUCUCUGCCUCCAAAAUAAAAAUGUUGCUUGAUUGCCUGGGGCACGGUAUGACAUUACAAACAGGUUUGUGGCCAAACGUUUGCCCCAAUUCCCUUUGCUUUUCCCUCCUUUCUAUGACAUUUUUGAUUUGGUUACUUUGGCCUGCCUCUGGUGCAGGAAUUCCCAACCUGAGAUCCACAGAUCCCUCAGUUAAUGAUAGGCGUCCAUGCAUAAAAAAGGUUGGGAGCCUCUACUCUAGUGUGUCUCUUAAGGCUGAUCCAAGCUUUGGAAGAAAGGUAUAGUUGUGAUGUUUGCAAGCGGUUACAAUUAGGAAUAGCGCAGGUCAUACUUCAGUACAUCAAAAUGGAGGAAGUCCAAUUUCUAGUCAGUUCUGUCUUCCAUUCUCAGAGUUGAAAUCAACAAUUUCAGAGAAUGGCAUUUCCAGCAUUUUCUGAUUUUUUUUUCAGAUGUCUGUCACUUGGUGAAUUUUCUUUUCAUAAUUUGAGAUGUCAUUUUGUGGGGGAGCAUUUGCAUCUCUUGCAGAAAAAAAUGUUUUUUUUACUUGCCCCAUUACUGCAUCCAUUGUGCUAUCAUUUAAAAAUAAUUAAUCUGAUCUCUAACAAUUUGUUAUCAUCUCCUCUUCUUUUAAUGCAUCUUAAAACUUGUUUGUCAGCCUUUGAAUGAAGGAUCGUUGACCUGAAGCAUUAAUUUUCUCCAUCCACUGAUGCCAUCUGACUUUUUGAAUACAGUUUUGAAUUUAAUGUCAGAUAUAUCCCAUUAUUUGGGCCUAUCUGGGCGGGAGAUGGAGGAGGAUCACCUUACCAAAGAUGCAUUGCCAUCAGCUCCAUCCUACCAAUACAACACUGAACUCAACACUUCUGUUGUGAGAGAUGGGACAGAUGGAUCAGCUCGGGUUGAAUUAUUCAGUAGUAGUGAGCAAGAUCUGGCCAUGGUGGAUAGGACAGUACAAGAGACAGAUGACAGAAGAGUAAGCUCAGAUUCGAGCUACACGGAAGAACACAGAGACUUGGAUUUGAGUGGCCCAGCAUUUAAAAGAAAAAUCUUCCAUGUUCAUCAUCAGUUACUUGAGGCUUUAGACAAUCUGUCUCGGAGCUGCCUGACGCUGUCAGAGAGUGUAGAGGAGUCGGCUUCCAUACUAUGUGGUGUUCUGCCACAAGGCCUUGCUACUCUGCAGACUACCAUGGAGAAUGUGACCAACACUCUGGAUGCUACAGUGAAACCCUCUGUUCGGGAGUCAGUGAGCCCUGAAUUGGCAUCAUUGAUUGAGGCUCAGACUAGUGCUAUUCAGGCUCUGACCUGCACCAUUUCCUCUGGCUUGGAAAGGUUGGGGGGAUGUAUUGAUAGGGGCUUUAACCAUAUCACAGAACUCCUACGGUCUGCUUUCCCAUAUGUCAGUGAUAAUGUUGAAUCUCAAUCCCGUGGUCAUGGAAGAGUGGGAGAGGCGAAUGCUGCUGUCUCUCAUAGCAGUCGUGUGCCUGCUCCCUUGCCCUGCCCUCAAUUCCAGGCUCCUUCUGUGACAGAAACAAUACUACAGUCAACACUUAGGCCCCCUCAUGCUCAAACCCUGAGAGAUCAACGAUCAUGAACAUUCCAGAGCUUUGACUGAGUCAUAGUAGCCUUUCACUGUACAAGCUGAAACCACUGUGGAAUCCAUGUAAAAGUGUAGCUAGGAAAACACUUAAAAAGCAUGUAGGAUGGCACUAGAGUGCUAAUGUAGGUACCAUGGUAUCAAUAAAGUGUAAAACACUUUGCAGUUUUAACUUUGACAAGAGGUUAUAUUUUAACUAAACUGCAGGGUUGGCUAUCAGAGUCUUCAGUGUUGGGCAAUGAUUGGAAUAUUUCAUUGGAAUUUGAAGGACUGUUAGAAAUACUCUUCAGGAUUGUUGAUGAGUAAGGGUGUAGCAUGCCUGAUCCAGGGUUUAAAAAGAUGAUAAAAGCUAAAACGUUAUUUUUUUAUAUAAAUUAUCACAUGACUUUUAAUAACAAUUGUUCUGCCAGAUGACAUAAUAACUUAGCAUACAGUUUUAACAUACCCAGAUGAAGUAAACACUAAAAUAAAAAUACAAUGAAUUUCUUCUCUGAUUCCGUCUUCACAGAUGCUGCCUGAUUUGUUGAGUGUUUUCAGCAUUUCCUGUAUGGUCUUUAGGCAUCCAGCAUUGGUAGUUUACUCUUAGAUGUUUAAAUAUGGUAUAUGCUUCUCAGUGAAAUUAAUUUGCAGUGCCCCAAUUCCCAAUGGCUACCAUGUAGCUACCUUAAUUAUGACAUUUAUACCUUGCUGUUAUUGGACCUAUAACUUCAAAUUGAUACAUUUCCCAUGAGUAAUGAAAUAAUUAUGCGGACUUUACUUAUGCUGGGUAAGCUAAGCAAACAGUAAUAGUCAUAGAGUAAUAGAAAAGUACAGCACAGAAACAGGCCCUUCAGCCCAUUGAGUCCCGUAGAGGAUGAGUUCCUGUAAAAAUUGGUUGGCUAGUUUAGUAUCUUAUGGAUCUAACAAGAGAUUAGAGUGCACUUUUCAUUGCUUACUAUGAGAUUUAAUUAGCUUAUAGUUAAGUGUGCUUUAAGAAGAGUGAUCAGAAUAUUGCAUAUAAAGGUGGAAGUGAAUUGGUUCAAUGGGAUGCCAGGAUCUUUUAAUUCAAACAAAAAUGAAGCAAGAUACAAAGGUUUGAGUCAGGAAUUGGUUAUGACAGAUUGGGAAACAAUGUUGGGAAAAAAACAUAAAGCAAUGGCUAACUUAUGAACACUAAAACAUGGUUCACAACAAUGUGCAUAUCUCAGCACAAAAAAAACAGGAAAUGUGAUCUGGUUAUGGAUAACAAGUUAAAGUUAGAAUUAAAUUGAAAGGAGAGACUUAAAAUGUUGGCAGAAAGCAGGCCUGAGGAUUGGGAAAUUUGCCGAAUU
Hypanus sabinus (Atlantic stingray) is the source of this 6499-nucleotide RNA transcript. It is a transcript of the gene named myb-related transcription factor, partner of profilin-like, with no coding region annotated. The record is from RefSeq and is a predicted model, not a curated record. The transcript is spliced from 3 exons. Lineage: Eukaryota; Metazoa; Chordata; Chondrichthyes; Myliobatiformes; Dasyatidae.